CUUCUAUAUAUUAUUGCUAGAAAUUAAUUUAUUUUGCUUUCCAAAGUCCAAAGAAAUCUUUAUUAUUUUGGCACGAAAAACAAUUAUCUUUUAUUCUGCCAAAAAAGACGAUAAUAUUUGCAGAGCAAACACGCGUCAGUGUAGGGGUUGGGUUAUGUUAAGUUCUUAGGAUCCUCCCAAGCUAUUGCACAUGUUUGAAGUCUGUUUGCAUUUGGUCAAGUCCGUGCCACACCACGCUGUGAACAGUUGAAUAUUCAUUUUUAGUUGCAGAGUACAAAUGAAGGUAAAUAAUUAUAAAACUUACUCAAACGAUUGACACAACCACUGACACCCAUGACGCAGCUAUUGCUGAAUUUGCAGCGCACCAAUUGACCAUUUUUGCGGGUCUCUCCGCACACUGGACUGUAGACUGCAGGACAGAUGCUGGGACAUUGCUCCCUUGAUUGUGCUUCCGAAAAGGUACAGACCAGGAGCAGUCCAAGGAGCAGCAGAAACGACUUCAUUGCUGUAAUGUAGGAGGAGAUCUUCUGGUUGAUAACAGUCAGUGCGAGGAGCUUUUAUAGGGCAGCCUCUGAGGGAUGAGCUAUAAUUGUACACAGUUCAACGCACGCUGAAACAGCUGUUAAAAGUUCAUUUUUAAUUAAGAUUUAAAAUUAAAUUACAAACCAUUUUAUUUAGCUCAGUUUUUAUUGCAGUUCAUUUGCCUUUCUGGGGAUUGUCAAUCAAACGGCUACGAAGCUCCCGCCCCUUUAUCAAGCAUCACACAGUUACCAUUCCACACCCAGCCAACUUGGACACUGGUUAAGAGCUUUAACCUUCAGGCCAUACAAUUGCCUGGCGCUAGGCAUGGGAUCGCCUUAAAUGGUC
This 867-nucleotide long non-coding RNA is filed under the name Drosophila guanche. Lineage: Eukaryota; Metazoa; Arthropoda; Insecta; Diptera; Drosophilidae. The record is from RNAcentral.